This 253-nucleotide ribosomal RNA is filed under the name uncultured bacterium. Its description in RNAcentral is "partial 16S ribosomal RNA". It matches the Rfam family "Bacterial small subunit ribosomal RNA", at positions 524 to 776 of the family's 1533-position model. The record is from RNAcentral.
UACGAAGGGGGCUAGAGUUGUUCGGAAUUACUGGGCGUAAAGCGCACGUAGGCGGACUUGCCAGUCAGGGGUGAAAUCCCGAGGCUCAACCUCGGAACUGCCUCCGAUACAGCAAGUCUCGAGUCCGGAAGAGGUGAGUGGAAUUCCUAGUGUAGAGGUGAAAUUCGUAGAUAUUAGGAAGAACACCAGUGGCGAAGGCGGCUCACUGGUCCGGUACUGACGCUGAGGUGCGAAAGCGUGGGGAGCAAACAGG